GCUGGGCGUGGUGGCACAUGCCUGUAAUCCCAACAGUUUGGGAGGCUGAGGCAGGAGGAUCAUGAGUUCAAAGCCAGUCUCAGCAAUUUAGCAAGACCCCGUCUCAA
This 107-nucleotide small RNA is filed under the name Marmota monax (woodchuck). Lineage: Eukaryota; Metazoa; Chordata; Mammalia; Rodentia; Sciuridae. The record is from RNAcentral.